CUUUGAAGAGAGAGUUCAAAGGGCGUGAAACUGUAUAUAAGCAAACAGGUGGAGUUGAUGGAAGCUUUUGUAAUUCAGCUGAGACUGGCAUUGAGUCUGCACAUGUGACUUUGCAUGUGUGUGGACAGUGAUGCUGUUUUGGUGCAUGUUGCAUUAGUGUGUGUUGUAAGCAGUGAUAGUGCUAGUGUAACAGAGUGCGAGAAGGCUGUUUUUCAGUAUCUUGGUAUUCUGUGAAACUGAGUUGUUGUUACUGUGAUCAAGACUGCCCACUGCAUGAUUGGUAGUGCUGAGGUUGUGGUGGCAUCAGGGCUUUAUGCUUGCAUGUUGCAAUGAUGCUGUCUUGGCUGCAGGUGCAAUCUGAGUGGUGGUCUCUUACAACAUUUGUGUCAGCCACCCACCUGACCCGUCUUGAAACACGGACCAAGGAGUCUAACAUGUGUGCAAGUUAUUGGGUGGAAAGCCUAAAAGCACAAUGAGAGUGAAUUUGUGGGAUCCUUGCAAUGCAGGGCGCACCAUGGUCCCAUCCCAUCUGCUUGUCAGAGGGGUGGAGAUUGAGCAUACAUGUUGGGACCCGAAAGAUGGUGAACUAUGCCUGAGCAGGGCGAAGCCAGAGGAAACUCUGGUGGAGGUCCGUAGCGGUUCUGACGUGCAAAUCGAUCGUCAGACUUGGGUAUAGGGGCGAAA
Molecule: ribosomal RNA, 684 nt
Filed under: Aponema pseudotorosum
Lineage: Eukaryota; Metazoa; Nematoda; Chromadorea; Desmodorida; Microlaimidae
Description: partial large subunit ribosomal RNA
Rfam family: Eukaryotic large subunit ribosomal RNA
Source: RNAcentral